This 308-nucleotide ribosomal RNA is filed under the name Bacillus licheniformis. RNAcentral describes it as "bacterial SSU rRNA". It matches the Rfam family "Bacterial small subunit ribosomal RNA", at positions 1190 to 1498 of the family's 1533-position model. Lineage: Bacteria; Bacillati; Bacillota; Bacilli; Caryophanales; Bacillaceae. The record is from RNAcentral.
UCAUCAUGCCCCUUAUGACCUGGGCUACACACGUGCUACAAUGGGCAGAACAAAGGGCAGCGAAGCCGCGAGGCUAAGCCAAUCCCACAAAUCUGUUCUCAGUUCGGAUCGCAGUCUGCAACUCGACUGCGUGAAGCUGGAAUCGCUAGUAAUCGCGGAUCAGCAUGCCGCGGUGAAUACGUUCCCGGGCCUUGUACACACCGCCCGUCACACCACGAGAGUUUGUAACACCCGAAGUCGGUGAGGUAACCUUUUGGAGCCAGCCGCCGAAGGUGGGACAGAUGAUUAGGGUGAAGUCGAACAAGACC